Molecule: unclassified non-coding RNA, 350 nt
Filed under: soil metagenome
Description: partial contains 5.8S ribosomal RNA, internal transcribed spacer 2, and large subunit ribosomal RNA
Rfam family: 5.8S ribosomal RNA (bases 1-120)
Source: RNAcentral
GAUGAAGAACGUAGCGAAAUGCGAUAAGUAGUGUGAAUUGCAGAAUUCAGUGAAUCAUCGAAUCUUUGAACGCACAUUGCGCCCCAUGGUAUUCCGUGGGGCAUGCCUGUCCGAGCGUCAUUGCUGCCCUUCAAGCCCGGCUUGUGUGUUGGGUCGUCGUCCCCCCCGGGGGACGGGCCCGAAAGGCAGCGGCGGCACCGCGUCCGGUCCUCGAGCGUAUGGGGCUUUGUCACCCGCUCGAUUAGGGCCGGCCGGGCGCCAGCCGGCGUCUCCAACCUUCUAUUUUACCAGGUUGACCUCGGAUCAGGUAGGGAUACCCGCUGAACUUAAGCAUAUCAAUAAGCGGAGGA